Molecule: non-coding RNA, 21 nt
Organism: Caenorhabditis elegans
Lineage: Eukaryota; Metazoa; Nematoda; Chromadorea; Rhabditida; Rhabditidae
Source: Ensembl
UGUGCAUCCGUUUGGCAAUAG